Molecule: long non-coding RNA, 2286 nt
Filed under: Sarcophilus harrisii (Tasmanian devil)
Lineage: Eukaryota; Metazoa; Chordata; Mammalia; Dasyuromorphia; Dasyuridae
Description: lncRNA (ENSSHAG00000021023.1)
Source: RNAcentral
CUCCUUUAAAUUUAACUCUAUUCUCAACCUUAAAUAUGCUAUCUCUCUAACCAUCUUAGUUCUUCCAUUGUGGUAUCUUGGGAACACAUUCAAUCUGUACUCAUAAAAUUCAUAUUAAAGUCUCCCUUUUAGUACUUAUUACUUGCUGUCUUAAACAAGAGAUUUAAUUUUAUUGUUCCUUGGCUUCAUCAACUAUAUUAUGAAAGGAUUAGAGUAGUUCUGAGAUCUUUUUCAUAUCAAUGUUUACAAUUCUGUGACCAGAGAACAUUCAGUAUCAUCUAACCUUUUAACAUCACUCAUUUUCAAUCUCUAUUUCUGAACAUUAGAAAAUAUGAAACAAAAUUUAGUUUUACACUACAAGGCAGAUAUAAUUGGAUUUCACUUAGAGUACUGACUUGAAGCUAAAUUAAAUAAGUAAAAUGCAUUGUUAUUAUACUUCUUUUGCAAUUUUCAUCCAUAAAAGGUAAAAUAAAUUUGUACUUACAUUUCUUUUUUGUUGGAAAGAUUAUUUGAAAUGGAGAAUCAAGAAAAAUUAAAAUUGUUCAAGCUCUAUUCAAGACAUCCUUGUCAGAAUCAUUAUCCAUUCAUUAUCAUUUUUUGUGGAAUGGUUUGACAUUUCCUUCUUCAGAGCUUUUUAUAACUGAGGAAAUCAUGACAAAAACGGUUAAGUGACUUCUUCAAGGUCACAGACACUAUUAAACUCAGGAAGAGGCCUGUCAUUGUACUACAUAUCUCCCCAAAUAUAGAUUUAUUUCCAAAUUGUUACAAGCACACAUUAUAUUGUUUCCUACCUUCAUCCCUUAGGCGGUACAACAUUGAUUGGUAAGCCAUAGCUCCUUAAGGAAAAUGUUUGCACAGUAUCUUUAAGUGAUUACCUGGUGCCAAUUCUCUGUCUUCCCACUUGUAGAGAAAUAUAGGUUAAUUCAUCAAAGUUAAAGGAACAUAUGUUACAAUUACAAUUUGGACUAAAUUCUUAUGAAUCUAUAAAUAGGGAAAAAACUACUCCAUUAGAGCCAUGUGAUCCCAUGGAAAAGGCAAAAACAAAACAAAACAAACAAAAGAAAUAAACAUACAAAUAAAGACCAUAGAUUAGCAUAAAGAUUUGGGUCACAAUAAUAGUGACCACACUUAAAUACAUCAAACCACUCAGCAUUCCACCUUAAGUAUAUACCUUACUUUCCAAUUCUCUUCACUAAAACAUAUCUCUUCUCCAGAAGAAUAGCACAUGUGCCAUUUUUUGGUCUAUUCUAUUUUUUUUAAAUUGAUGUAAUUUUUAUUCCCUAGCUCUGGUUGUUGAUCUCUCUCUAGCCUAACUCCUCCCCCCCCACACACACAAGGACACAAUCACAUCACAGCAUCUCUCAUAACAAAUUGGAGCUAUGUAAAACAAAACAGGAGUUUGGAAUUGCAGAAAAUACACAACUCAUUCAUCACAUAAUAUUUCUAUACCAAGAGGAGAUAUGCAUGUUUCAAUGUCAGACAGUACAGUAAUUAGUGUUCUGUACACUUGCAAAAAAAAAAAAAUGCAUCACUGAAGUCUCUGAAGUAACCAAUUUUCUUCUUAGGAAUAGGAUUUAAAAUUACUAUCAAUAACAAGGAAAUGAUAUCUUUCUUGUCGAUAAGAUAUUUUAUGGUACUCCAUUAAGGUUUUAAUUUGCCACAAUUUUCAGGUUUAGCUUCAAAUUUACAAUUGAUUAUGUGGGUAUAUAAUUAACAUAUAAGAUCACACUGAAUUUAAUGGUGAUUAAAAUAAGGAAGUCCAUUGAAGAUUCAUAACUAGAAAACUCACAAAGUAGCUAAUAUGUUCAAUUUUUGAUGCUUUAUCAAGUAUGUUACAUAUUAUUUCACAUUCAAUGAAGAAAACACACUAAGGUGUGGACAAUUAAGACCUCCUUAUUUUACAAGGGUGGUAAUCCAAUGUCAGAGAGUUUAAGUAACUUGAAAAACUUUCUAGAAAUAUCAACUAUCAGAAAAAGGAGAUCAUCCCAGAUGAUCCUGUAUUCUAUACCAAUAUUUUUUGCCCAAUAAGAAGCAACUUCAGUAACAAAAUAAGGGAUAAAAGAGAAUAUAAACAAAAGAGAUCUUUUUAAUUGCAUGAAAUGAAAAAUUUCUCAUGCAAUAAAUUUAAUGCAAUGACAAUUAAGAAACACUAAUUUUCAAAUAAUUUGGGAAAAUCUUGAUAUUUAAAUUAUAUUUGAAAUUGUGAUGAAGAGAUAAAUCUUAGAUCUUUUAUUCUUUUAUAGAUAGGAACUCAAAUAAUAUUACCAGAUUAUAUAUAUAUGUGUG